CCUACGGGAGGCAGCAGUGGGGAAUAUUGGACAAUGGAGGAAACCCUGAUCCAGCAACGCCGCGUGAGUGAAGAAGUUUUUCGGAAUGUAAAGCUCUUUUGGCAGGGAAGAAUGAAAUGACGGUACCUGACUAAUAAGCUCCGGCUAACUACGUGCCAGCAGCCGCGGUAAUACGUAGGGAGCAAGCGUUGUUCGGAUUUACUGGGUGUAAAGGGAGCGUAGGCGGUUAUGCAAGUCAGGAGUGAAAUACAGGGGCCUAACCCGGGGACUGCUUGUGAAACUGUAGGACUGGAGUGCAGGAGAGGUAAGUGGAAUUCCUAGUGUAGCGGUGAAAUGCGUAGAUAUUAGGAGGAACACCAGAGGCGAAGGCGGCUAACUGGACUGCAACUGACGCUGAGGCACGAAAGCGUGGGGAGCAAACAGGAUUAGAUACCCCGGUAGUC
Molecule: ribosomal RNA, 443 nt
Filed under: uncultured bacterium
Lineage: Bacteria
Description: partial 16S ribosomal RNA
Rfam family: Bacterial small subunit ribosomal RNA
Source: RNAcentral